CCUACGGGCGGCAGCAGUAGGGAAUCUUUCACAAUGGGCGAAAGCCUGAUGGAGCAACGCCGCGUGCAGGAUGAAGGCCUUCGGGUUGUAAACUGCUUUUAUAAGCGAGAAAUAUGAUGGUAACUUAUGAAUAAGGAUCGGCUAACUACGUGCCAGCAGCCGCGGUCAUACGUAGGAUCCGAGCAUUAUCCGGAGUGACUGGGUGUAAAGAGUUGCGUAGGUGGCAUAAUAAGUAGCUAGUGAAAUCUGGUGGCUCAACCAUUCAGACUAUUAGCUAAACUGUUAAGCUCGAGACCGUUAGAGGUAACUGGAAUUUCUAGUGUAGGAGUGAAAUCCGUAGAUAUUAGAAGGAACACCAAUAGCGUAGGCAGGUUGCUGGGACGGUUCUGACACUAAGGCACGAAAGCGUAGGGAGCAAACGGGAUUAGAUACCCCAGUAGUC
RNAcentral lists this ribosomal RNA (442 nucleotides) under uncultured bacterium. Its description in RNAcentral is "partial 16S ribosomal RNA". It matches the Rfam family "Bacterial small subunit ribosomal RNA", at positions 338 to 795 of the family's 1533-position model. The record is from RNAcentral.